RNAcentral lists this ribosomal RNA (443 nucleotides) under uncultured Planctomycetota bacterium. Its description in RNAcentral is "bacterial SSU rRNA". It matches the Rfam family "Bacterial small subunit ribosomal RNA", at positions 329 to 763 of the family's 1533-position model. Lineage: Bacteria; Pseudomonadati; Planctomycetota. The record is from RNAcentral.
UGCACCACACCUACGGGUGGCAGCAGUCGAGGAUCUUCCGCAAUGGGCGCAAGCCUGACGGAGCGACGCCGCGUGUGGGAUGAAGGCCUUCGGGUUGUAAACCACUGUCACUCGUUAAGAAAGGGUCUGGCGUUAACAGCGUCAGGCACUGACUAAGGCGAGAGAGGAAGCCACGGCUAACUUCGUGCCGGCAGCCGCGGUAAGACGAAGGUGGCGAGCGUUGUUCGGAAUCACUGGGCAUAAAGCGCACGUAGGCGGUGACGUAAGUCGGGUGUGAAAUCCCUCGGCCUAACCGAGGAACUGCGCCCGAUACUGCGUUGCUUGAGGAUCAGAGGGGUGCAUGGAAUUUCCGGUGGAGCGGUGAAAUGCGUUGAUAUCGGAAGGAACUCCGGCGGCGAAAGCGAUGCACUGGCUGAUUUCUGACGCUGAGGUGCGAAAGCCAA